CCUACGGGCGGCAGCAGUGGGGAAUAUUGGACAAUGGGGGGAACCCUGAUCCAGCCAUGCCGCGUGUGUGAAGAAGGCCCUCGGGUUGUAAAGCACUUUCAGUGAGGAAGAACGCCUGGUGGUUAAUACCCAUCAGGAAAGACAUCACUCACAGAAGAAGCACCGGCUAACUCCGUGCCAGCAGCCGCGGUAAUACGGAGGGUGCGAGCGUUAAUCGGAAUUACUGGGCGUAAAGCGCGCGUAGGUGGCUUGAUAAGCCGGUUGUGAAAGCCCCGGGCUCAACCUGGGAACGGCAUCCGGAACUGUCAAGCUAGAGUGCAGGAGAGGAAGGUAGAAUUCCCGGUGUAGCGGUGAAAUGCGUUGAGAUCGGGAGGAAUACCAGUGGCGAAGGCGGCCUUCUGGACUGACACUGACACUGAGGUGCGAAAGCGUGGGUAGCAAACAGGAUUAGAUACCCUGGUAGUC
Molecule: ribosomal RNA, 465 nt
Filed under: Vreelandella stevensii
Lineage: Bacteria; Pseudomonadati; Pseudomonadota; Gammaproteobacteria; Oceanospirillales; Halomonadaceae
Description: partial 16S ribosomal RNA
Rfam family: Bacterial small subunit ribosomal RNA
Source: RNAcentral